AUGGCUCAGGAUGAACGCUGGCGGCGUGCCUAACACAUGCAAGUCGAACGAAACUGAUUUCAUGAAACUCGGUAGAUUGGAUGAAAGUUGAGUGGCGACGGGUGAGUAACACGUGGGCAACCUGCCUCACAGAGGGGGGAUAGCAGUUGGAAACGACUGAUAAUACCGCAUAAGCACACAGUACCGCAUGGUACAGGGUGAAAAGAUUUAUCACUGUGAGAUGGACCCGCGUCUGAUUAGCCAGUUGGCAGGGUAACGGCCUACCAAAGCGACGAUCCAGUAGCCGACCUGAGAGGGUGACCGGCCACAUUGGGACUGAGACACGGCCCAGACUCCUACGGGAGGCAGCAGUGGGGAAUAUUGCACAAUGGGGGAAACCCUGAUGCAGCGACGCCGCGUGGAGGAAGAAGGUCUUCGGAUUGUAAACUCCUGUUGUUGAGGAAGAUAAUGACGGUACUCAACAAGGAAGUGACGGCUAACUACGUG
Molecule: ribosomal RNA, 486 nt
Filed under: uncultured bacterium
Lineage: Bacteria
Description: bacterial SSU rRNA
Rfam family: Bacterial small subunit ribosomal RNA
Source: RNAcentral